AUUGAACGCUGGCGGCAGGCCUAACACAUGCAAGUCGAACGGUAACAGGAAGAAGCUUGCUUCUUUGCUGACGAGUGGCGGACGGGUGAGUAAUGUCUGGGAAACUGCCUGAUGGAGGGGGAUAACUACUGGAAACGGUAGCUAAUACCGCAUAACGUCGCAAGACCAAAAAGGGGGACCUUCGGGCCUCUUGCCAUCGGACGUGCCCAGAUGGGAUUAGCUAGUAGGUGGGGUAACGGCUCACCUAGGCGACGAUCCCUAGCUGGUCUGAGAGGAUGACCAGCCACACUGGGACUGAGACACGGUCCAGACUCCUACGGUAGGCAGCAGUGGGGAAUAUUGCACAAUGGGCGCAAGCCUGAUGCAGCCAUGCCGCGUGUAUGAAGAAGGCCUUCGGGUUGUAAAGUACUUUCAGCGGGGAGGAAGGGAGUAAAGUUAAUACCUUUGCUCAUUGACGUUACCCGCAGAAGAAGCACCGGCUAACUCCGUG
RNAcentral lists this ribosomal RNA (490 nucleotides) under uncultured bacterium. Its description in RNAcentral is "partial 16S ribosomal RNA". It matches the Rfam family "Bacterial small subunit ribosomal RNA", at positions 30 to 507 of the family's 1533-position model. The record is from RNAcentral.